UAAACUAGGAUUAGAUACCCUAUUAUUGUAUAUAUUAUUUUUACCUGGGUAGUAUUAGUUAUUUUCUUUAAAACCCGAAGAAUUUGGCGGUGUUUUAUUCUAUUUAGAGGAAUUUGUCCCGUUAUCGAUAAUCCUCGUUUUAUCUUACUUUAUUUUGUUUUCAGUAUGUAUACCGCUGUUAUAAGUUUAUUUUAUUAGAAUAUUAAUUUACUUUAAUUAUUAAUUUAAUUUAUUUCAA
This 238-nucleotide ribosomal RNA is filed under the name Centrophasma hadrillum. Its description in RNAcentral is "partial 12S ribosomal RNA". The record is from RNAcentral. Lineage: Eukaryota; Metazoa; Arthropoda; Insecta; Phasmatodea; Lonchodidae.